UAAUGUCUGGGAAACUGCCUGAUGGAGGGGGAGUAACUACUGGAAACGGUAGCUAAUACCGCAUAACGUCGCAAGACCAAAGAGGGGGACCUUCGGGCCUCUUGCCAUCGGAUGUGCCCAGAUGGGAUUAGCUAGUAGGUGGGGUAACGGCUCACCUAGGCGACGAUCCCUAGCUGGUCUGAGAGGAUGACCAGCCACACUGGAACUGAGACACGGUCCAGACUCCUACGGGAGGCAGCAUG
Molecule: ribosomal RNA, 242 nt
Filed under: uncultured bacterium
Lineage: Bacteria
Description: partial 16S ribosomal RNA
Rfam family: Bacterial small subunit ribosomal RNA
Source: RNAcentral